This 817-nucleotide ribosomal RNA is filed under the name uncultured Staphylococcus sp. RNAcentral describes it as "bacterial SSU rRNA". It matches the Rfam family "Bacterial small subunit ribosomal RNA", at positions 78 to 882 of the family's 1533-position model. The record is from RNAcentral. Lineage: Bacteria; Bacillati; Bacillota; Bacilli; Caryophanales; Staphylococcaceae.
UUGCUUCUCUGAUGUUAGCGGCGGACGGGUGAGUAACACGUGGAUAACCUACCUAUAAGACUGGGAUAACUUCGGGAAACCGGAGCUAAUACCGGAUAAUAUUUUGAACCGCAUGGUUCAAAAGUGAAAGACGGUCUUGCUGUCACUUAUAGAUGGAUCCGCGCUGCAUUAGCUAGUUGGUAAGGUAACGGCUUACCAAGGCAACGAUGCAUAGCCGACCUGAGAGGGUGAUCGGCCACACUGGAACUGAGACACGGUCCAGACUCCUACGGGAGGCAGCAGUAGGGAAUCUUCCGCAAUGGGCGCAAGCCUGACGGAGCAACGCCGCGUGAGUGAUGAAGGUCUUCGGAUCGUAAAACUCUGUUAUUAGGGAAGAACAUAUGUGUAAGUAACUGUGCACAUCUUGACGGUACCUAAUCAGAAAGCCACGGCUAACUACGUGCCAGCAGCCGCGGUAAUACGUAGGUGGCAAGCGUUAUCCGGAAUUAUUGGGCGUAAAGCGCGCGUAGGCGGUUUUUUAAGUCUGAUGUGAAAGCCCACGGCUCAACCGUGGAGGGUCAUUGGAAACUGGAAAACUUGAGUGCAGAAGAGGAAAGUGGAAUUCCAUGUGUAGCGGUGAAAUGCGCAGAGAUAUGGAGGAACACCAGUGGCGAAGGCGACUUUCUGGUCUGUAACUGACGCUGAUGUGCGAAAGCGUGGGGAUCAAACAGGAUUAGAUACCCUGGUAGUCCACGCCGUAAACGAUGAGUGCUAAGUGUUAGGGGGUUUCCGCCCCUUAGUGCUGCAGCUAACGCAUUAAGCACUCCGCCUGGGAGUA